Molecule: small nucleolar RNA, 130 nt
Organism: Sorex fumeus (smoky shrew)
Lineage: Eukaryota; Metazoa; Chordata; Mammalia; Eulipotyphla; Soricidae
Product: small nucleolar RNA SNORA61
Exons: 1
Source: RefSeq, a predicted model, not a curated record
ACCCUCCAGUUUCCUUUCCUGUGGCUGAACGCUGGUCUUGUAGUUGUAAAAAGAGAAAUAGCAAUACUGAGUCUGGCCUCCAGGUCUCAUAGCAUCUGCCAUGUAGCACACGGGCUAGUUUCAAACAAGA